GGGCUUGUAGCUCAGCUGGUUAGAGCGCGUCACUGAUAAUGACGAGGUCGCAGGUUCCGGUCGCCAAGCCCACCA
This 75-nucleotide transfer RNA is filed under the name bacterium. RNAcentral's name for it is "tRNA-Ile". It matches the Rfam family "tRNA". Rfam says of the family: Transfer RNA (tRNA) molecules are approximately 80 nucleotides in length. Their secondary structure includes four short double-helical elements and three loops (D, anti-codon, and T loops). The record is from RNAcentral.